CAACGAAUAGAAUCCAUCCAUCCACGCAACGAACAGGGGUGUGAUACAAGAAUCGAAUUCAACCACAAGAUAAACAGCAGCUACAAGAGAAGAAAAACAACAGCCGAGCGUGGCGACCGGCUGGAUAAGCGGCUUGGCCUUGGCGUCCCCACGCACGACCACGGCCGGCUUCUCCGUCGAGCACGGCGGCGCGGCGCUUUCCGACGUGUGGCGCCGCUGUUGCCCUGCUGCAAGAUCGACACGAACCCGCUCGCCCGCCACGCGUGGUUCAGAGGAGAGUGAGACUGUGCUUCGGAGGAGUAUGAGACGAGGGAGCCGGCGUUGUAGAUCGAAGGAAGAUGGCCAGCGGCGCAGACCGGAGAAGGAGGGCCGGCGGCGCAAAUCGCGGGAGAGGAGAGACGGGGAGAGGAGCCGUACGAGAGAGAUAGGGCUGCGCGAGCGCGAGGAGAAGAGCGGUUCCGCCUGGUCCGCUCGAUUUGGAGGUCUCACCUGUUCCGGAUCUGGC
Molecule: ribosomal RNA, 505 nt
Filed under: Triticum aestivum (bread wheat)
Lineage: Eukaryota; Viridiplantae; Streptophyta; Magnoliopsida; Poales; Poaceae
Description: partial small subunit ribosomal RNA
Source: RNAcentral